Molecule: ribosomal RNA, 468 nt
Filed under: uncultured bacterium
Lineage: Bacteria
Description: partial 16S ribosomal RNA
Rfam family: Bacterial small subunit ribosomal RNA
Source: RNAcentral
GACGAACGCUGGCGGCGUGCUUAACACAUGCAAGUCGAACGGAAAGGCCCUGCCUUUGUGGGGUGCUCGAGUGGCGAACGGGUGAGUAACACGUGAGUAACCUGCCCUUGACUUUGGGAUAACUUCAGGAAACUGGGGCUAAUACCGGAUAGGAGCUCCUGCUGCAUGGUGGGGGUGGGAAAGUUUCGGCGGUUGGGGAUGGGCUCGCGGCGUAUCAGCUUGUUGGUGGGGUAGUGGCUUACCAAGGCUUUGACGGGUAGCCGGCCUGAGAGGGUGACCGGCCACCUUGGGCCUGAGAUACGGCCCAGACUCCAACGGGAGGCAGCAGUGGGGAAUAUUGCACAAUGGGCGGAAGCCUGAUGCAGCAACGCCGCGUGCGGGAUGACGGCCUUCGGGUUGUAAACCGCUUUCGCCUGUGACGAAGCGUGAGUGACGGUAAUGGGUAAAGAAGCACCGGCUAACUACGUG